Small nuclear RNA from Suncus etruscus (white-toothed pygmy shrew), 109 nucleotides. NCBI's taxonomy places the organism in Eukaryota, Metazoa, Chordata, Mammalia, Eulipotyphla, Soricidae. The record is from RefSeq and is a predicted model, not a curated record.
GUGCUCUCUUCAGCAGCACAUGUACUAAAAUUGGAAUGAUAUACAGAGAAGAUUAACAUGGCCCCUGCACAAGGAUGACACGCAAAUUCAUGAAGUCUUCUAUAUUUAA